Molecule: ribosomal RNA, 497 nt
Filed under: uncultured bacterium
Lineage: Bacteria
Description: partial 16S ribosomal RNA
Rfam family: Bacterial small subunit ribosomal RNA
Source: RNAcentral
GAUGAACGCUGGCGGCGUGCCUAAUACAUGCAAGUCGAGCGAACAGACGAGGAGUUUGCCUCUCUGACGUUAGCGGCGGGCGGGUGAGUAACACGUGUAUAACCUAUCGUUAAGACUGGGAUCACUUCGGGAAACCGGAGCUAAUACCAGAUCAUAUGUUGAACCGCAUGGUUCAUUAGAGAAAGACGGCUUUGCUGCUACUAGUAGAUGGUUCCUGGUCGGAUUAGCUAGUUGGUAAGGUAACGGCUUACCAAGGCAACGAUGAGUAGCCGACCUGAGAGGGUGAUCGGCCACACUGGAACUGUGACACGGUCCAGACUCCUACGGGAGGCAGCAGUGGGGAAUCUUCGGCAAUGGGCGAAAGCCUGACGGAGCAACGCCGCGUGGGUGAUGAAGGUCUUCGGAUCGUAAAACUCUGUGAUUAGGGAGGAAGAGCGGUGUAAGGAAAAAUGCACGUCUUGACGGUACCUAAUCAGAAAGCCACGGCUAACUACGUG